This 442-nucleotide unclassified non-coding RNA is filed under the name Hevea brasiliensis (rubber tree). Lineage: Eukaryota; Viridiplantae; Streptophyta; Magnoliopsida; Malpighiales; Euphorbiaceae. The record is from RNAcentral.
CUUCUGAAUAUAUAUCUGUGCCAAUGGCUGAACAAAAUUGUGUCUUGCUCAUGAUUAACCUCAGUCUGGAAAAAAUGGUUGUAUAAUUGUGCAUUGUCCUUACCAAAAAGAAAAAAAAAAAGAACUUGGAAACACAUUGGGUUUCAUCAUCUGGUUGUUCUAAGAAAUUGUGAUGCCCCAGAAUUGUGAAAAAACUUGGACCCUUUCUUGUCGCACAUAUUUGAUCAGUUGGAUUGCUAUUGGUUAUAAAAAUGACGCAUCCACAUUGUUUUGUUUUCCUAGAAAACUCACAAAUUGGAUUGUGGUUUUAAUUAGAGAUCUAUAUUUGAAGAAUCUUGCAACAUUACUAUGGUUCAGUUUAUGUAAAACUGAAAAUAGUGGCAUGCUGUAUUCAUGCGUGUUACUUGAAGAAUUUUAUGUUUACCUAUAAUCUUUCUUUAUA